This 505-nucleotide ribosomal RNA is filed under the name uncultured bacterium. Its description in RNAcentral is "partial 16S ribosomal RNA". It matches the Rfam family "Bacterial small subunit ribosomal RNA", at positions 29 to 523 of the family's 1533-position model. The record is from RNAcentral.
AGUGAACGCUGGCGGUAGGCCUAACACAUGCAAGUCGAACGGCAGCACAGGAGAGCUUGCUCUCUGGGUGGCGAGUGGCGGACGGGUGAGGAAUACAUCGGAAUCUACUUUUUCGUGGGGGAUAACGUAGGGAAACUUACGCUAAUACCGCAUACGACCUACGGGUGAAAGCAGGGGAUCUUCGGACCUUGCGCGAUUGAAUGAGCCGAUGUCGGAUUAGCUAGUUGGCGGGGUAAAGGCCCACCAAGGCGACGAUCCGUAGCUGGUCUGAGAGGAUGAUCAGCCACACUGGGACUGAGACACGGUCCAGACUCCUACGGGAGGCAGCAGUGGGGAAUAUUGGACAAUGGGCGCAAGCCUGAUCCAGCCAUACCGCGUGGGUGAAGAAGGCCUUCGGGUUGUAAAGCCCUUUUGUUGGAAAGAAAUCCAGCUGGUUAAUACCCGGUUGGGAUGACGGUACCCAAAGAAUAAGCACCGGCUAACUUCGUGCCAGCAGCCGCGGUAA